GACGAACGCUGGCGGCAUGCUUAACACAUGCAAGUCGAACGGGAAGUGCUGGUUUCAGUGGCGGACGGGUGUGGAACGCGUGAGAACCUGCCCUGGGGAGGGGAACAAUAGCUGGAAACUGCCGUUAAUACCCCGUAGCCAGUGGAGCAAAAGAAAGGAGGCGCCAGAGGGGGGGCUGGCGUGUGAGUGGCUAGGUGGGGGGGCAAGAGCUUACCAAGGUGAUGAGCAGGAGAGCGUCCGAGAGGGUAAUCCGCCACACUGGGGCGGAGAGACGCCACAGACUCCGGCGGGGGGCAGUGGUGGGGAGUGUACAGCGAUGGGAGACAGGCUGCAGCAGCGACGCGUCGGGGAUGUAGGAGGCCUAGGGGUAGUGAACUUCUUUUCGCGACGAAGAGGGAAUGACGGUAUCUGGGGAAUAAGCACCGGCUAACUCCGUG
RNAcentral lists this ribosomal RNA (437 nucleotides) under uncultured bacterium. RNAcentral describes it as "partial 16S ribosomal RNA". It matches the Rfam family "Bacterial small subunit ribosomal RNA", at positions 28 to 507 of the family's 1533-position model. The record is from RNAcentral.